This 440-nucleotide ribosomal RNA is filed under the name uncultured bacterium. RNAcentral describes it as "partial 16S ribosomal RNA". It matches the Rfam family "Bacterial small subunit ribosomal RNA", at positions 338 to 795 of the family's 1533-position model. The record is from RNAcentral.
CCUACGGGAUGCCGCAGUAGGGAAUAUUGCUCAAUGGGGGAAACCCUGAAGCAGCAAAGCCGCGUGGCGGAUGAAGGUUUUCGGAUUGUAAACUCCUUUUGUUAGAGAAGAUAAUGACGGUAUCUAACGAAUAAGCACCGGCUAACUCCGUGCCAGCAGCCGCGGUAAUACGGCGGGUGCAAGCGUUACUCGGAAUCACUGGGCGUAAAGAGCGCGUAGGCGGGAUAGCAAGUCAGAUGUGAAAUCCUAGGGCUUAACCAUAGAACUGCAUUUGAAACUGUUAUUCUAGAGUAUGGGAGAGGUAGGUGGAAUUCUUGGUGUAGGGGUAAAAUCCGUAGAGAUCAAGAGGAAUACUCAUUGCGAAGGCGACCUGCUAGAACAUAACUGACGCUGAUGCGCGAAAGCGUGGGGAGCAAACAGGAUUAGAUACCCCAGUAGUC